GGUCUUUUGUUUAUAUAAAAGAUCUGGCCUGCCCAAUGAUUGUUUUAAUGGCUGCAGUAUUUUGUCUGUACAAAGGUAGCAUAAUCAUUUGUCUUUUAAUUGAAGUCUGGUAUGAAUGGUUGGAUGAAAAAUUUACUUUCUUUAUUUUAAAUAUUUAAUUUGAUUUUUGAGUCAAAAAGCUUAAUUGUAUUUAGAGGACGAGAAGACCCUAUAGAACUUCACUUAUUUUAUUUUGGUUUUUAUUUGUAAAUAAUUUUUUAUUAUUUUAGGAUAAGUUUUAUUGGGGUGAUAAAAAAAAUUUUAUAACUUUUUUUAUUUUUUUCAUUUAUUUAUGGUUGUUUUGAUCCUUUAUUAUGGAUAAUAAGAUUAAGUUACCUUAGGGAUAACAGCGUUAUUAUUUCAGAGAGUUCAUAUUGAUGAAAUAGUUUGCGACCUCGAUGUUGGAUUAAAAUUAGUGUCAGGUGUAGAAUAUUGAUUACUGGGUCUGUUCGACCUUUAAUUUUUUACA
Molecule: ribosomal RNA, 508 nt
Filed under: Corythucha sp. WCW-2003
Lineage: Eukaryota; Metazoa; Arthropoda; Insecta; Hemiptera; Tingidae
Also listed under: 1 other name
Description: partial 16S ribosomal RNA
Rfam family: Bacterial large subunit ribosomal RNA (bases 382-508)
Source: RNAcentral